GGCGACGCCGAGCGGAACCCGAAAAGGCGCCUCAGUUCGGAUUGGAGUCUGCAACCCGACUCCAUGAAGCUGGAUUCGCUAGUAAUCGCGCAUCAGCCACGGCGCGGUGAAUACGUUCCCGGGCCUUGUACACACCGCCCGUCAAGCCAUGGGAGCCGGGAGUGCCUGAAGUGCGCGGCCGCGAGGAGCGCCCUAGGGCAAGACUGGUGACUGGGGCUAAGUCGUAACAAGGUAAC
RNAcentral lists this ribosomal RNA (236 nucleotides) under uncultured bacterium. Its description in RNAcentral is "partial 16S ribosomal RNA". It matches the Rfam family "Bacterial small subunit ribosomal RNA", at positions 1256 to 1500 of the family's 1533-position model. The record is from RNAcentral.